GUCUUAUUGAAUAUGAUUUUAAGUCUGACCUGCUCAAUGAAUUUUAAAUAGCUGCAGUAAUUUGACUGUACAAAGGUAGCAUAAUAAUUAGUUUUUUAAUUGAAAGCUGGAAUGAAGGGUUGAAUGAGAAAAUUACUGUCUCAAUUUAAAUAAUAUAAUUUUAUUUUUAAGUUAAAAAGCUUAAAUUUUAUUAGAAGACGAGAAGACCCUAUAGAGUUUAAUAAAAUUAAUUUUUUUUAUAUAUUUUAGAAUUUAAAUUUUAAAUAAAAGUUUUAUUUGGUUGGGGUGAUUAUAAAAUUUAGUAAACUUUUAUUUUAUAAAAACAAUAAUUUUUGAAAAAUUGAUCCAUAUAUUUUGAUUAUAAGAAUAAAUUACCUUAGGGAUAACAGCGUUAUUUUUUUUAGAGUUCUUAUUGAAAAAAAAGAUUGCGACCUCGAUGUUGGAUUAAAGUUUAAUAUUGGUGCAGAAGCUAAUUAUUUAAGUCUGUUCGACUUUUAAAAUUUUACA
This 507-nucleotide ribosomal RNA is filed under the name Passandra heros. Its description in RNAcentral is "partial 16S ribosomal RNA". The stretch from base 382 to 507 matches the Rfam family "Bacterial large subunit ribosomal RNA", at positions 2473 to 2600 of the family's 2925-position model. Lineage: Eukaryota; Metazoa; Arthropoda; Insecta; Coleoptera; Passandridae. The record is from RNAcentral.